GGUGAACGCUGGCGGUAGGCCUAACACAUGCAAGUCGAACGGCAGCACAGUAAGAGCUUGCUCUUACGGGUGGCGAGUGGCGGACGGGUGAGGAAUACAUCGGAAUCUACUUUUUUGUGGGGGAUAACGUAGGGAAACUUACGCUAAUACCGCAUACGACCUACGGGUGAAAGCAGGGGAUCUUCGGACCUUGCGCGAUUGAAUGAGCCGAUGUCGGAUUAGCUAGUUGGCGGGGUAAAGGCCCACCAAGGCGACGAUCCGUAGCUGGUCUGAGAGGAUGAUCAGCCACACUGGAACUGAGACACGGUCCAGACUCCUACGGGAGGCAGCAGUGGGGAAUAUUGGACAAUGGGCGCAAGCCUGAUCCAGCCAUACCGCGUGGGUGAAGAAGGCCUUCGGGUUGUAAAGCCCUUUUGUUGGGAAAGAAAAGCAGCAGGUUAAUACCCCGCUGUUCUGACGGUACCCAAAGAAUAAGCACCGGCUAACUUCGUG
This 492-nucleotide ribosomal RNA is filed under the name uncultured bacterium. RNAcentral's name for it is "partial 16S ribosomal RNA". It matches the Rfam family "Bacterial small subunit ribosomal RNA", at positions 28 to 507 of the family's 1533-position model. The record is from RNAcentral.